GCAGCCGCGGUAAUACGUAGGGGGCAAGCGUUAUCCGGAUUUACUGGGUGUAAAGGGAGCGUAGACGGUGAGGCAAGUCCGAUGUGAAAACCCGGGGCUCAACCCCGGGAUUGCAUUGGAAACUGUUUGACUCGAGUACUGGAGGGGUAAGCGGAAUUCCUAGUGUAGCGGUGAAAUGCGUAGAUAUUAGGAGGAACACCGGUGGCGAAGGCGGCUUACUGGACAGUAACUGACGUUGAGGCUCGAAAGCGUGGGGAGCAAACAGGAUUAGAUACCCC
RNAcentral lists this ribosomal RNA (278 nucleotides) under uncultured Ruminococcus sp. RNAcentral describes it as "partial 16S ribosomal RNA". It matches the Rfam family "Bacterial small subunit ribosomal RNA", at positions 511 to 788 of the family's 1533-position model. Lineage: Bacteria; Bacillati; Bacillota; Clostridia; Eubacteriales; Oscillospiraceae. The record is from RNAcentral.